Molecule: long non-coding RNA, 210 nt
Filed under: Homo sapiens (human)
Lineage: Eukaryota; Metazoa; Chordata; Mammalia; Primates; Hominidae
Description: HSALNT0384665
Source: RNAcentral
CCAGCACUCUGGGAAGCUGAGGUGGGCAGAUCACUUGAGGUCAGGAGUUAGAGACCAGCCUGGCCAACAUGGUGAAACCCCAUCUCUACCAAAAAUAUAAAAAAUUAGCCGGGUGUGGUGGCAUACACAUGUAAUCCCAGCUACUUGGGAGGCUGAGGCAGAAGAAUCGCUUGAACCCAGGAGGCGGAAGUUGCUGUGAGCUGAGAUGGA